AGGAAUUUGAGAGCCAAAGUAAAGUGCAACUGGCCCCCCAGGCCCAGAGGGGCUAGCAGUGAGAACUGAAGAUGUUCCCUCUGGACCUUCCGGCCACAGCUCAUUGAUGGGACAUGUUCUCAGACAGUGUUAUCGAAGAGCUGGAGCUCCAGUGGGCAUCUUGGGCCCUGAGAUGACAUUGGGGAAAGAAAGUUUUCUGGAACAAGGUGACACUGUGGGCACAAAAACUAUCCCAACUCUAGACUUCUUGAGUGUAAAAGACAUAUCGACUUCUAUCUUGUUUAAGCCACUAUUACUACGAGAUUUUUU
RNAcentral lists this long non-coding RNA (309 nucleotides) under Homo sapiens (human). Its description in RNAcentral is "non-protein coding lnc-MMP21-1:9". Lineage: Eukaryota; Metazoa; Chordata; Mammalia; Primates; Hominidae. The record is from RNAcentral.